AAUCUGCCUUUUGGUUUGGAAUAACACGGGGAAACUUGUGCUAAUACCGAAUAAGCCCUUACGGGGAAAGUUUUAACGCCGAAAGAUGAGCCCGCACUUGAUUAGCUAGUUGGUAAGGUAAAGGCUUACCAAGGCUACGAUCAAUAGCUGUUCUUAGAGGAAGACCAGCCACAUUGGGACUGAGACACGGCCCAGACUCCUACGGGAGGCAGCAGUGGGGAAUCUUGCACAAUGGGGGAAACCCUGAUGCAGCGAUGCCGCGUGAGUGAAGAAGGCCCUUGGGUUGUAAAACUCUUUCGUCGGGG
RNAcentral lists this ribosomal RNA (305 nucleotides) under uncultured bacterium. Its description in RNAcentral is "bacterial SSU rRNA". It matches the Rfam family "Bacterial small subunit ribosomal RNA", at positions 123 to 444 of the family's 1533-position model. The record is from RNAcentral.